Molecule: long non-coding RNA, 1489 nt
Filed under: Felis catus (domestic cat)
Lineage: Eukaryota; Metazoa; Chordata; Mammalia; Carnivora; Felidae
Description: lncRNA (ENSFCAG00000049100.1)
Source: RNAcentral
AUGGCCUUUCCCGUAGGACCUGCCCAGGGUACCUGUGCUCACAGCUCCCAUCUCACUACUGGGGAAGGAUCCGCACUAAAGUGGGUUAUUUUUUUCCCAGGUACUAUGUGCCAAUACUCAGAAAAACGCAAUUUCUGUGUCGGUAACCGUCCCCGAGGUUGGCCCCGCUCUGGCUGGUUUGCGCGUCAGGAUUUGCAAUGGGCCCGAAGAUGUGGGGGCCUGCCGCCUCUCCUCACCAGCCUCCAGGAAGUCUUGUCCCGGGAGACCGUCCAGGACGUCCGCUGUCCGUGUGUCCGGCCUCUUGCUGGAGGAGCGAGCAAUGGGGCGAGCGGGCAUGGGCACGGAGGCCUUACCCUGCAGUCCUGCAUUCACUGCACCCUCCCAUACCUGUUCCCCGCAUCCCCCUGCUGGACCCACUCCAGUCAUUUAAGGGAUGCUCCUUGCAGCAUCUAUUCUCUGCAGCUACUGAGGGACACCGGUGCGUCCUGACCUUGCUCAGCUGGCCGCUUUUUAGUAUCAAGAGGCGAGCAGUGCCAAGAUUUGCCCCCAAAAGGAAAGCUCCACGCUCUUGCUUCCUCCCCGUGGAGUGCAGUGCCAGAGGGCUCUGCCUGGCACAGGGCCAGUGUGGCAGCCUAGACUGCUUGCCUUGAGCUCCGAGGCCCCCCUUUUCCUAACCGACUGCGGCUCUUGAACAUCGGCGUCGCCUUCGCCAAGAGCCGCCACACUUCAGAACGAGACGUGGGUUUAAUGAGCAGCGAGGCCUGCGGGACGGGGAUUGAUUUUACGAAAUCCAAAGAUGCAAGGCGGUGACUCCGACGAACGUGGUAUCGGCAGUCAGAUGGCUUCUCCAUCCCAGCCGUGCAGGAGGAAGCGGUGAGAAAUAGCAUUGCUCAGCAGAAAUGUCUUGAACUGUUCCGCUCUAGAGUCAGCUCGGUGAUUUCAUGUUAUGUCAGCCAAUUAAUACCUUCUCCAGUCUGUCCUACGUGUCAGGCACAGGAGGGAUGUGUGCAUGUGUGUGUGUGUGUGUGUGCACGCACAAGAGUGCUGUUUCCAGUAACCAUGUGGAAAGCAUCAUCAGCUUAGUGGAGAGGCUGACUUCUUCCCCGCCCAGUAGAAUAUGAAGACGUUGUGGCAUGUUUGGUUAAAGGACACGGUGGUGAUGUCAUUCAGGAUGAGUGAUUUACAGAUGACAUUGAAGAAAAGACAACCUGCUUGGUGCUCACUUAAGCUUUCCUCCUGAUAGAUGUGGGGGCUCCCUCUAAGGGGACCUGGGCGUCCCCAGGCCACGGCUUCUCCUGUGUGUGUUCUUCCUCCUCUGCUUGCUCUCGUCAGAGGCAGGUGCCCCUGUCCUCCAGAACACGUGUGCGCUCAGCCUCCUUCUGCGGCAGGUGCAGAGUUUAGGCCUUCACCCUGGGCGGCACCCAAGGCGAGGGGCCGUCACUGCAGAAUCGUCCCCAGGAAAGGCGCUAACCACUCACAGGCAUGCCUG